UACGUAGGUGGCGAGCGUUAUCCGGAAUGAUUGGGCGUAAAGGGUGCGCAGGCGGUCCUGCAAGUCUGGAGUGAAACGUAUGAGCUCAACUCAUGCAUGGCUCUGGAAACUGGAGGACUGGAGAGCAGGAGAGGGCGGUGGAACUCCAUGUGUAGCGGUGGAAUGCGUAGAUAUAUGGAAGAACACCAGUGGCGAAGGCGGCUGUCUGGUCUGCAACUGACGCUGAGGCUCGAAAGCAUGGGUAGCGAACAGG
RNAcentral lists this ribosomal RNA (253 nucleotides) under uncultured Allobaculum sp. RNAcentral describes it as "partial 16S ribosomal RNA". It matches the Rfam family "Bacterial small subunit ribosomal RNA", at positions 524 to 776 of the family's 1533-position model. Lineage: Bacteria; Bacillati; Bacillota; Erysipelotrichia; Erysipelotrichales; Erysipelotrichaceae. The record is from RNAcentral.